CCAUGUUCUGAGCACGGA
RNAcentral lists this small nuclear RNA (18 nucleotides) under Arabidopsis thaliana (thale cress). RNAcentral describes it as "snRNA_18872". The record is from RNAcentral. Lineage: Eukaryota; Viridiplantae; Streptophyta; Magnoliopsida; Brassicales; Brassicaceae.